This 754-nucleotide ribosomal RNA is filed under the name uncultured archaeon. RNAcentral's name for it is "bacterial SSU rRNA". It matches the Rfam family "Archaeal small subunit ribosomal RNA", at positions 102 to 859 of the family's 1478-position model. The record is from RNAcentral.
AGUCAACAUGCCCAAAGGACGUGGAUAACCUCGGGAAACUGAGGAUAAACCAUGAUAGGCCAAGGUUUCUGGAAUGAGCCAUGGCCGAAAUCUAUAUGGCCUUUGGAUUGGACUGCGGCCGAUCAGGCUGUUGGUGAGGUAAUGGCCCACCAAACCUGUAACCGGUACGGGCUUUGAGAGAAGGAGCCCGGAGAUGGGCACUGAGACAAGGGCCCAGGCCCUAUGGGGCGCAGCAGGCGCGAAACCUCUGCAAUAGGCGAAAGCUUGACAGGGUUACUCUGAGUGAUGCCCGCUAAGGGUAUCUUUUGGCACCUCUAAAAAUGGUGCAGAAUAAGGGGUGGGCAAGUCUGGUGUCAGCCGCCGCGGUAAUACCAGCACCCCGAGUUGUCGGGACGAUUAUUGGGCCUAAAGCAUCCGUAGCCUGUUCUGCAAGUCCUCCGUUAAAUCCACCUGCUCAACGGAUGGGCUGCGGAGGAUACCGCAGAGCUAGGAGGCGGGAGAGGCAAACGGUACUCAGUGGGUAGGGGUAAAAUCCAUUGAUCUACUGAAGACCACCAGUGGCGAAGGCGGUUUGCCAGAACGCGCUCGACGGUGAGGGAUGAAAGCUGGGGGAGCAAACCGGAUUAGAUACCCGGGUAGUCCCAGCUGUAAACGAUGCAGACUCGGUGAUGGGUUGGCUUCGAGCCAACCCAGUGCCGCAGGGAAACCGUUAAGUCUGCCGCCUGGGGAGUACGGUCGCAAGACUGAAACUUAA